UAGAUACCCAGGUAGUCCACGCCGUAAACGAUGGAUGCUAGCUAUUGGGGGGAAUCGACCCCCUCCGAAGCGAAGCUAACGCGUUAAGCAUCCCGCCUGAGUAGUACGAGCGCAAGCUUAAAGCUCAAAGGAAUUGACGGGGACCCGCACAAGCGGUGGAGCGUGUGGUUUAAUUCGAUGGUAAACGAAGAACCUUACCAAGGUUUGACAUCCCGGUAGCCGUUCUCCGAAAGGAGAAUUUCAUUUAGUUGGACCGGUGACAGGUGAUGCAUGGCCGUCGUCAGCUCGUGUCGUGAGAUGUUGGGUUAAGUCCCGCAACGAGCGCAACCCUUAUGAUUUAGUUGGAUUUUUCUAAACAGACUGCCCUGGUAACAGGGAGGAAGGAGGGGAUGAUGUCAGGUCAGUAUUUCCCUUACACCUUGGGCGACACACGCGCUACAAUGGCCGGUACAAUGGGCAGCUAAGCCGCGAGGUGGAGCAAAUCCCAUCAAAGCCGGUCCCAGUUCGGAUUGCAGGCUGAAACCCGCCUGCAUGAAGUCGGAAUCGCUAGUAACC
RNAcentral lists this ribosomal RNA (555 nucleotides) under uncultured bacterium. Its description in RNAcentral is "bacterial SSU rRNA". It matches the Rfam family "Bacterial small subunit ribosomal RNA", at positions 779 to 1343 of the family's 1533-position model. The record is from RNAcentral.